Long non-coding RNA from Formica exsecta, 2085 nucleotides. RefSeq lists it as uncharacterized. The transcript is spliced from 3 exons. NCBI's taxonomy places the organism in Eukaryota, Metazoa, Arthropoda, Insecta, Hymenoptera, Formicidae. The record is from RefSeq and is a predicted model, not a curated record.
AGUAUCGGGCACAGUGUCAUCGUCGCGUCGUAUUCGCGUCGAGAAUAAGUAUCUCGCGAAUGUGUGAUCGAUAUUUGAUCGAUGCGAGAAUCGCGGGUAGCGGAGGCUUCCUUCGGCGUCUCUGUUCGACGAACGUCGUAACCGUCGUUGAUGUUCGAAUUCCCUGCCUCCGUUAGUUUUCGAAUGGCGAUCGUCGCGUACGAUUACGCGAGUGUAAAUAUGACGAGGACGAACCACUAUCGCAGUUACGGGUCCGUCAGUCAUCGCGAAUGAUAAUCGUGUACCCGCGAGUCGGGAGUGCCGAGGAAAAGUAACGGGCGUGAAAAAGUACAUCGCGAUCGCAACGUACGUAUUCGAAUCUAAAGUGCCGCGAGUAAUGGUGAAUAAUGUGAUGCAACGGAUUUCGCCGCGUAUAAAUGUCGUCGGGAGUGUCGAGUAAUAAUAUCGGACGAUUAUUUCGGUUAUGCGAGCGCAAGGAUUGCGAACAGUAACGAUAAGCGAAUUGUCGCGAGAGGAAGUACAAUAUAAAUAUAUCGGGAGUGCCGAAAAAAAGUAUCGCGGGAUACUGGACCAAUAUCGCGACCGUGAAUAAUAAUUAAUAUCCAAUGAACUAAUUCAGUUAAAUAUACGAUGAAAUCGUCGGCCGUCGAUAAUCAGUUUUGGACAGAAAGGCCAAUGAAUCGGAUGACGAGAAGGAAACAACGGGACAUUGAUCGAUAUUUCUGGAAGGAAAGGGAAGGGAAUAAGAAGUCGUCGAUGUCACCCUAUGCGGGACUCUAUCAUUCUCGACAAGUUUUUAAUGGUGAAGCACUCUUCCGCGGAUAAAACUUGGCUAUCUCGUGUGCUGCGAAACCAAUUGACGAUGAGCACUCGACAGGAAUACGCUCCACCACCUCGUCCGCAAAUGCAGCUGCCUACUCAAACUGUCCUCUCGCGCGCACGUGCGCAACCGACUGCAUCCGUAAUGUGUACGUAAGUAUGUACGUGUAGUAUUUUCAGAGAGGCUUUUGGGUGUUUGGUGGAGAGAGUCUGGUCUGUGCGCGCUCGUUGAAAAUCAAUGUGGCCCGCGCGAAUGAACGCCGGCCUCGCACACGCGACAAAUCCGAAAUCCGAUUGUGUAUUUUUGAGAUUUCAACAAGGCCGUAUUAAAUGCGUGUUUGUUGCGUCCCGCAUUUUUAUAUUAAACAUUUUCCGUGAUCGCGCAACACGCGCCCCGCGCGGCGCUAUUAAAGAAACAUUUUUCCUCGCUCUUUUCUUCCGGCGUCCGUGAAAUUCUGAUCGAAAUUUCAUUCGAAUUUAUCGUCAGUCUCGGGCAAGAUUAAAUGUAGAUGAUGCGAUAUUAAAUUCGUCUCUGCGUGGGAUUUUAUCGUCCACGGCUCGAUAUAAUACGCCGCCGCUGAUUCCGCGUCGUUGCACAUUGAAGAUAACGAGAGCUGUGUCCGGGAUUGUCUUUGGCAAAAAUAAGAUCUGCGACUGAAGGAGUUUGUUUGAAUAUAUGAAUGUUUCAUACGCGUUCGCGUUCGAAUAUGUGAUUUUAUUGUAUAUAUAGCUUACUCCGGGGAGAUAUCGAUAAACACUUGUAGAUACAAUGUGUAGUCGCUUACUAGAUCCUUUCGUACAUACGUACGUACUUCAUUCUUUGUAGUGCCUUAUGCUUUAUACAUUCGCAAAAGAAAAAAGCUCGGAAAAAGCCGCGGCUUUCUGUCCUUCUUGUAUCCGAUGCAAUCUGCCAUGACCUAAGAUGCGAAAUAUUUUUCCAACAUCUCAUACCUUAUUUACGCUUUAAAAAUAUUCUCAAAAACUCUAACGAAUAAAUUUAUGCUUUCUUCGCGUAAUCGGAAAAAUUUAUUCUGUAUAUUUAUUAUUUAUUAUUCACGUGAAAAAAAUAUCUAAUAUAUAAAAGAAAACGCGAUUGUGUCGAGAAAAUUGUGGGGUAAAAAAAUCGUAGAUGGUCCAUUUACCAUUAAAUCGCUCAGUGGAAAGCUUUCAACGCGGGAAACAGAUUUUUGUGACCGUGCGAAAAAAAAAAGAAAAAAAAAUACGCCGGGUUAUCGUCCGACUGCGAAAUCCAGGAAAAGGACCGAA